Molecule: long non-coding RNA, 1096 nt
Filed under: Equus caballus (horse)
Lineage: Eukaryota; Metazoa; Chordata; Mammalia; Perissodactyla; Equidae
Description: lncRNA (ENSECAG00000046857.1)
Source: RNAcentral
CAUGUGUCAUAUCUGAUGAAAGUCAACUUCACCAGAGGGGACCUUGUCAGUCUUUUCCAACGCUCUCCGUCUUUGAGCUUCCAUGAGCUGUCCCAGGAGAGCACCAGCCCUCAGAAGAAACUAUGAUGGAUUUUACUGCCAUGUUUGCCAAAAAGACAUCUCAGAACCUCUUGACUACUUGUAGACUUUGUCUGCCUUCUCCACAACAGAGUAAAAGGAAUUAUAACAGGAGAGAAAAACCUACAAAUCAAGCAAAAGACAUCUUCCUCAGGAGCGUUCUUCUCACCUGAAAGGCACAGUGAGAAAGGAAUGAAGUGUGCAUUGAAUCCGAAGCUUGGGUGAGGCCUCUCAGCCUUGGGACAGACAGCAGCACAGCCAAAGGGCCUCGAGAGAAACGAGGACUGAGUUUUGAAAAGCCUUCUGUGGCCAUUUGCACUCAGCUUUGGUAGUGGUAUGACUAUAUGAUGUGUGGAACUGUUGAAGCCAUCUUGUCACUAUGAGGUCACAACUUCAAGGAUGAGAGGCCCACACACUGUGGAUGCCCAAAUAGAAGGAUGAGAAAAGCCUGGGUUUUUGAUGGCAUUGCUGAGCUUCAGAACAAACCCUAGGCUCACCUAUCUCCAGCCUCUCAUCAAGGAAAACAACAAUUGUCUUUAUGGUUCAAAUCACUAAUGUGAAUCCCUCCUGCCACGGACGGAAGACUACACCGGGGAGAGAAUCACAGCUGCAUGCCUCUGGCUCUCAGGGAAGACAUUCUUUCUGUGUUCAACGCUGAAGCUCUAGUCCUGGUUCCUGUGUCAAAGCUGCUGUCUACCUAUCUCCCUGCAAGAGUUCAGCGACAUUUCACCAUGCUGGCAUUAUCAUUCUCUUCUUGUCAGCUUCUCUGGGACAGAUGAUACACGGGCUGCACAAUUUGGACAGACCCCGCGAGAAAAUGGCUUUCUAUGAACCUGGAAGUGGAUCCUUGCCAGAUACCAACUCUGCUGGCACCUUGAUCCUGGACCUCCCAGCUUCUAGAACUGUGAGAAAUAAAUGUUUGUUGUUUAAGCCAUCCAGUCUAUGGUAUUUUGAUGUAGCAGCCUGAGCUAGCUAAGAC